This 1317-nucleotide long non-coding RNA is filed under the name Oryzias javanicus (javanese ricefish). Its description in RNAcentral is "lncRNA (ENSOJAG00000008322.1)". Lineage: Eukaryota; Metazoa; Chordata; Actinopteri; Beloniformes; Adrianichthyidae. The record is from RNAcentral.
AUGUUUCGCUUCAAGAAGACAAGACAACGUCCCCAGAGAACGUCCACGCAAGGUACCGAGAUGGAAUCGGUAAGGACAGCAGAGGCUCCAAAGAAGAAAAAACGUUUUCGGCGUUUUUUCAAACGAAAAAGAGCUCCUGGGCCUUCAGAUGUCAAGGACACCACAAGUAAAGACGUGGAUGAUCCCUGCAGCUCUGAAAUCCAAACAUUUGACAAUGGUAAUGAAGCUUUGUCAAUGGAACGUUUGGAUUCAGAGUCUGAGAAGCAGAGCAUGGCGGAGACCGCAAAUCUCCAGCUGGAUACCUCAAGUGAGGACGAGUAUGAACUUUGCUGGUCCAGAAGCCAAAGACCUGACACUAAAAGUCAGGCUUCGGCAUGGAACAGUGAGGAUUCAGAUUCCGAGGAGAGCAGGGUGAAAGAGUACGAAACUCUCCAGCUGGAUGCCUUCAGUGAGGACGAAAAUAAACCUUGCUGCUCCAAAAGCCUAAUGCCUGACAAUAAAACUCAGGCUUCGGCAUUGGACUAUGAGGAUUUAGAGACUGAGGAGAAGUGGUGGAACGUGUACAGAAAUCUCCAGCUGGAUUCCUCCAGUGAGGACGAAUCUUGCUGCUCCAGAAGCCUAAGUCCUGACGUUGAAACUCAGGCUCCGGCAUGGUGCAGUGAGGAUUCAGAUUCCGAGGAGAGGAGGGUGAACGGUAAAGGGAAGAUGUGGGUCAACCCGAGAUAUCGUCAUGUGAAAAAACGCAGAUCGGCCUCGGAUGAGCAGGAUUGCAGUGGGACUAAACCCAAAAAAGGAUUCUUCAGGGCUCUGAGACGGAUGUUCAAAAAGAAGAAACAUCCUAAAAUUAACAAUCCAGAAGUCCAGACUCCAGAGUCAAUUCCGAAGAACGAGGAAACUUUGGAGCAAAGUAUUGAUUAUGAUGAAUACUUUGCCCAACGUAACCAAUGUUCUAAAGAAAUACAGACAGAGGAAAUGUCGGAGGAAUUCUUAUUGGAGCAAAGGCUUGAACUGGCUAAGAUAGAACUCCAGUUAAGCCAGAAACUAUUCCAACUGGCCAAGGUCAGAGAUGAAAUCAGGUUCCUGCAAAGAGACCACGAGAUGAGGAAGACUGUGUUCAACCUUGAGUCUGCCUUGAUGGAGAGAGAAAGAAAACGCUUUGAAGUCGAGAGGCAGGAAUUUUCCAAUUUAAGGAAAGCCUCUGAAAGCAGCUUGGCAGAACUACCACUUGAAGAAGAUCCCCCAGAGGAGAGUGAAGACGUGACGGAGGAAUCUUUGGAAAGUAGCAGUUUGAGAGUCAGGAGUUGCUUGAUUUCUUAG